This 378-nucleotide unclassified non-coding RNA is filed under the name uncultured Kiritimatiellota bacterium. RNAcentral describes it as "uncultured Kiritimatiellaeota bacterium contains 16S-23S intergenic spacer region". The record is from RNAcentral. Lineage: Bacteria; Pseudomonadati; Kiritimatiellota.
UCCUGUUUUGUACAGGCAGUCUGUUUAGAGUGCUCGCCUUGCGGCGGUGGCAACUAAACACAGGGGUUGCGUUCGUUGCGGGACUUAACCCAACACCUCACGGCACGAACUGACGACAGCCAUGCAGCACCUGUGCAGCACCCUCGAAGGAAUCCGCCUUUCGACGGACGUGCAGCUGCAUGUCAAGUCCUGGUAAGGUUCUUCGCGUUGCAUCGAAUUGAGCCACAUGCUCCUCCGCUUGUGCGGGCCCCCGUCAAUUUCUUUGAGUUUUAGUCUUGCGACCGUACUCCCCAGGCGGUGCGCUUAACGCGUUAGCUCCGGCACGGGGAGGGUCAAAUCUCCCCACACCAAGCGCACACCGUUUACAGCUGGGACUAC